RNAcentral lists this long non-coding RNA (452 nucleotides) under Amborella trichopoda. RNAcentral's name for it is "long non-coding RNA (ATRI_LNC004744)". The record is from RNAcentral. Lineage: Eukaryota; Viridiplantae; Streptophyta; Magnoliopsida; Amborellales; Amborellaceae.
GCCAACUUGCAAUAGCCUUGCCCUUAUCAUUUUUGCUUUUGUUCUCCACUCAUUUUCCUCAUCAAUCUAGCUCUCUAUUUCCUUGUCAUUUUUGCUUUUUGUUCUCUUCUCAUCUUUCUCACCAGCCUCGCUCUCUCUUGCCUCAUCUCCACCAUCUCCCUCUUUAGUAUUGCUUUCCUCAUCUCCACUAUCUCCAUCCUCACUCUAGUUGUUGUCAUCUCCACCUUCUAUAUCCUCGCCAUCACUUCCACCAUCUUCCUCCACAAUCUCCUCAGCAUUAUCUGUAGGAGUGUUAUGCACUAACAAAUCGUGGGUCGUCUGUACCAAAUAUUUGGAUUUCCCUGCUAUUACUUCACCACGAAGUGCAGCUUGUAGCAUCCCUAUACAGGUUAAUCGCUGCAAGUAGACAAUAAAAGUAAUAUAAAUCACUGCAAGUAGAUAAUGAAUAGACA